UAGGGAAUCUUCGGCAAUGGACGAAAGUCUGACCGAGCAACGCCGCGUGAGUGAAGAAGGUUUUCGGAUCGUAAAACUCUGUUGUUAGAGAAGAACAAGGACGUUAGUAACUGAACGUCCCCUGACGGUAUCUAACCAGAAAGCCACGGCUAGCUACGUGCCAGCAGCCGCGGUAAUACGUAGGUGGCAAGCGUUGUCCGGAUUUAUUGGGCGUAAAGCGAGCGCAGGCGGUUUCUUAAGUCUGAUGUGAAAGCCCCCGGCUCAACCGGGGAGGGUCAUUGGAAACUGGGAGACUUGAGUGCAGAAGAGGAGAGUGGAAUUCCAUGUGUAGCGGUGAAAUGCGUAGAUAUAUGGAGGAACACCAGUGGCGAAGGCGGCUCUCUGGUCUGUAACUGACGCUGAGGCUCGAAAGCGUGGGGAGCAAACAGG
RNAcentral lists this ribosomal RNA (429 nucleotides) under Chloroflexota bacterium. Its description in RNAcentral is "Chloroflexi bacterium partial 16S ribosomal RNA". It matches the Rfam family "Bacterial small subunit ribosomal RNA", at positions 355 to 776 of the family's 1533-position model. RNAcentral also lists the same sequence under 1 other name. Lineage: Bacteria; Bacillati; Chloroflexota. The record is from RNAcentral.